Octopus bimaculoides (California two-spot octopus) is the source of this 1002-nucleotide long non-coding RNA. The record is from RefSeq and is a predicted model, not a curated record. NCBI's taxonomy places the organism in Eukaryota, Metazoa, Mollusca, Cephalopoda, Octopoda, Octopodidae.
UAAUAAUCAAUUCUUACUUAAUUAUAAUUGAUAACAAUCACUCCGCAUCAGGAGUCAUCCCUUCAAUGGACUUCCAAACAGUUACUGUCUAUCAAAUUUCACUCAAAAUAUUUUGCUUCACUUGAAGCUGUGGUGCUGAGCAAUGGGACUGAACCCAAAACCAUGUUGAUGUGGAGCAAACUUUUUUAAACAUACUACCAUGCCUUCCUCUAUUUACAAAAGCAACUGUGCAGGUAUUGAAUGAAGUCUUAUUCAUUGCUUUAUCUCUUUAUCUUUUCACAGCUGUUACAUUAUUAAUAAUUAGCACAUCAAACUUAAAUUAGAUCACCUUAGCCUGCUGUUAAUGUCCAGAGACACUAUUUCAUGUUGACAACAUAUGCUAAUAACUAAUUUGUUCAUAGCCUGCCAGCCUUUUGUGAUGUCACUAGCUGUUUGCCAUUAUUAUUCAAUGUCAGUUCAACUGAUUUUCAUUCUGGAGUUUGGUGAGACGUAGACUGCCAUGAAUGAUCCACAGAAAUGGUGAAAUGGUGAAAUCAAGUGAAUGCCAUCCACCAGUGUAAAUGAUUAUUUCAUUGGCUGGUGCUUAAUUAGCAUGUGUUGUCAAGAUGAGACAGUAUCUCUCAACAAGCAGGUUAAGAGCGGAGCAACUGAACACAGUACACACAAUUCACACCACCAACCUCACUCUCUUGUGUGUGACUAUCUUUCAAUCCAGUGACAAGGCCAGGUCAAGACAACUAAGGAUGGAGAUGGAUACUGUGGAUGGCAAAGAUGCCUUACAUUCCUCAGCUUAUUCUCAGGCACCUUCUCCUCCACUAAACCAUGACAAUUUCUUUUGCAAGUCUGCUGGAUCCAGUAACAUAUACACACACACUUAUACAAUGUCAAAAAAUAUUGAUACUUUUCUUCAUCUAUUGAGAUUUAAAUCAUUUUUACAAAAUUUUGAAUCAUAAUCUUAUUACUCUUGUGUCACAUAAAAAUGAUUCCAACUUUUUAUAAGAA